Molecule: long non-coding RNA, 317 nt
Organism: Arabidopsis lyrata subsp. lyrata
Lineage: Eukaryota; Viridiplantae; Streptophyta; Magnoliopsida; Brassicales; Brassicaceae
Exons: 3
Source: RefSeq, a predicted model, not a curated record
UGUGUUUCAGUUUUGUAGAGCGUGGGAGGUUCUAUCGACAAAGCUUUUGGACGAAAGUGGUGUUGAUGAUAACAGAACGAGGUUUGGAAAGGGAUAGUGUACACGUACUCGACGGGGGUGAAUUACACCUAAGCUUAGAUGUCUUCAAAAGGCCAUCACUCACAACAACAUCCUCUUCACCUCAAUGGCUUCACAUAUGUUGUGUUCGGGACUAAGAAGCAUGGGAACGGGAAGAUUGAUGAGCUAGAGAGGCAUAUUGAGUCUUUGAUAUGGGAAACUGUUAAGGAAAGAGAAAGGGAAUGUGUGGGAUUAGAUGA